GAAAGGUAGACAUCCAACUCCUACAACUCGCGAGUGACAGGGAAUCACUCGGCUUUUACCGUCUCCUCGUUAAGCAAGCGGCUACUCGGUCCAACAGCUAGUGCUCAGAUCAUGGGGAUAACUAAGUCAUGCAUCUAGGGUUUCAAACAACUCCUAUACGUAAAUGCACAAGCAUGUUACAGAAGGCAUGCGCAAGUUUGGUAAAACACACAGGGUUUUCAUGCAACCGGGGCUUGCCUU
Molecule: long non-coding RNA, 240 nt
Filed under: Setaria italica (foxtail millet)
Lineage: Eukaryota; Viridiplantae; Streptophyta; Magnoliopsida; Poales; Poaceae
Description: long non-coding RNA (SITA_LNC000470)
Source: RNAcentral